Molecule: ribosomal RNA, 497 nt
Filed under: uncultured bacterium
Lineage: Bacteria
Description: partial 16S ribosomal RNA
Rfam family: Bacterial small subunit ribosomal RNA
Source: RNAcentral
GAUGAACGCUGGCGGCGUGCCUAAUACAUGCAAGUCGAGCGAACAGACGAGGAGCUUGCUCCUCUGACGUUAGCGGCGGACGGGUGAGUAACACGUGGAUAACCUACCUAUAAGACUGGGAUAACUUCGGGAAACCGGAGCUAAUACCGGAUAAUAUAUUGAACCGCAUGGUUCAAUAGUGAAAGACGGUUUUGCUGUCACUUAUAGAUGGAUCCGCGCCGCAUUAGCUAGUUGGUAAGGUAACGGCUUACCAAGGCGACGAUGCGUAGCCGACCUGAGAGGGUGAUCGGCCACACUGGAACUGAGACACGGUCCAGACUCUUACGGGAGGCAGCAGUAGGGAAUCUUCCGCAAUGGGCGAAAGCUUGACGGAGCAACGCCGCGUGAGUGAUGAAGGUCUUCGGAUCGUAAAACUCUGUUAUUAGGGAAGAACAAAUGUGUAAGUAACUAUGCACGUCUUGACGGUACCUAAUCAGAAAGCCACGGCUAACUACGUG